CAUAAUCRUUAGUUUUUUAAUUGAGAACUUGUAUGAAUGGUUGAAUGAGAAAUAGACUUUUUUAAUAGAAAAAUUGAAUUUUACAUUUUAAUUAAAAGGUUAAAAUUAUUUUAAAAGACGAGAAGACCCUAUAGAGUUUUAUAAUUUAUGUUUAAUAUUUUAAAAAAAUUAAUUGAUAUUUUUAUUUUAAUAAAUUAUUUUGUUGGGGUGAUAAUAAAAUUUAAUUAACUUUUAUUUUUUUAUACAUUAAUAUAUGGAAAAUUGAUCCAUUACUAAUGAUUAAAAAAUUAAAUUACCU
RNAcentral lists this ribosomal RNA (298 nucleotides) under Pseudolycoriella puhihi. RNAcentral's name for it is "partial 16S ribosomal RNA". The record is from RNAcentral. Lineage: Eukaryota; Metazoa; Arthropoda; Insecta; Diptera; Sciaridae.